GAAACUUUUCCACUGUCCUGAACGUUUCCCUUCUUCCCUGCUCUGCUUCUGACAUCUGCACCAUGUGCCAGAUAGGGGAUAAUAACUAACAUUUCACUGACACAUCUGUCCUGUCCACAGGUGUGAUGCCAAGGAUUGAAACCAAGGAGGGAGGAUAAGUGCUGAGUGAGCACAGACAACAGCUCCUCUGUCUUUCUCAAACAUCUUCAAGGUCCCUGUGGAGGGAUAAAUGGCCAACAGGAGGUUCUUUCCCAGGAGAGACUCAUCUGGAGCUUUAUGGGUUCCAGUGUGCAGCAACAACAGGCAGCAGGGCAGGACUCGCUGUUCCUUUUUCCUAUGCAUAUACCUUUUUGAGAUGUAGCUUUAAAGAGGCAUAGGGCAUGGGAAAAUGGGGCUGCAGAGGUAUCCCACCAGGCAGACAGCUGUUUCAUCAUCCUCACACUGCCUGCAGAUGAUCUUUGUGUCUCUGUGAUUCUUUUUUAAAUAUAAUAUCAUAACUCUGAUUUCUUCAUAUUCAUUCAAGAUGACAUUGUGUGUGUUUGCUAUAUUACUGUUCAUUUGAAACAUCUUUUUACCAAAACACUGUCUUUGUUUUUAUUUGGAAUAAAGACAUCUUGGU
This is a long non-coding RNA of Monopterus albus (swamp eel), 619 nucleotides long. RefSeq lists it as uncharacterized. The transcript has 3 exons. The record is from RefSeq and is a predicted model, not a curated record. NCBI's taxonomy places the organism in Eukaryota, Metazoa, Chordata, Actinopteri, Synbranchiformes, Synbranchidae.